This 363-nucleotide transfer RNA is filed under the name uncultured Microcystis sp. RNAcentral describes it as "partial 16S-23S ribosomal RNA intergenic spacer". The stretch from base 135 to 208 matches the Rfam family "tRNA". The record is from RNAcentral. Lineage: Bacteria; Bacillati; Cyanobacteriota; Cyanophyceae; Chroococcales; Microcystaceae.
AAGGGAGACCUAAUUCAGGUAGGAGACGAAAAAAAAGUAGUCGCUACCAAGAAUCAAUCCCAAAAGGUCGGAGCGAGGCGAAAUUGGCUUUCAAACUAGGUUCUGGGUUCACACAAGACCUGAAUCAGGAACAAGGGCUAUUAGCUCAGGUGGUUAGAGCGCACCCCUGACAAGGGUGAGGUCCCUGGUUCGAGUCCAGGAUGGCCCACCUGUACAGGUGGCAAAAAGAAAGAAAAGAAGCGAGGAAUCAGCACCUUAUCUUACUGACAUAGUAAGAGAGAAUGCUGGCUCUGAGUAAAGAGUCUAGAGGAACCUUGAAAACUGCAUAGAGCUAGGUGAAAAAGCCAAAAAAGAAGACCGCAA